RNAcentral lists this ribosomal RNA (467 nucleotides) under uncultured bacterium. Its description in RNAcentral is "partial 16S ribosomal RNA". It matches the Rfam family "Bacterial small subunit ribosomal RNA", at positions 28 to 506 of the family's 1533-position model. The record is from RNAcentral.
GACGAACGCUGGCGGCGUGCUUAACACAUGCAAGUCGAACGGACAGACCCUGAUUUUGUGGGGUGCUCGAGUGGCGAGCGGGGGAGUAACACGUGAGGAACCUGCCCUUGACUGUGGGAGAACUUCAGGAAACUGGGGCUAAUACCGGAGAGGAGCUACUGCUGCAUGGUGGUGGUUGGAGAGUUUCGGCGGUGGGGGAUGGACUCGCGGCUUACGCGCUUGAUGGUGGGGUAGUGUAUUAACAAGGCUUUGACGGGUAGCCGGCCUGAGAGGGUGACCGGCCACAGUGGGCCUGAGGUACGACCCAGAGGCCUACGGGAGGCAGCAGUGGGGAAUAUUCGACAAAGGGCGGAAGCCUGAAGGAGCAACGUCGGGUGCGGGAAGACGGUCUUCGGGGUGUAACCCGCUUUCGCGUGAGACGACGCGUGAGUGCGGGUAAUGGGCAAAGAAGCACCGGCUAACUACGU